This 639-nucleotide long non-coding RNA is filed under the name Chinchilla lanigera (long-tailed chinchilla). RNAcentral's name for it is "lncRNA (ENSCLAG00000023585.1)". Lineage: Eukaryota; Metazoa; Chordata; Mammalia; Rodentia; Chinchillidae. The record is from RNAcentral.
UGGUGGCUUGAUCCCACCUCCCGCCCCUGGGGGAGCAGUGCAGUGGCCCCUGUGAGGUCCUGGCAGAGGACUGUGUGUCUCCUCUGCCCACUGAGCACCGGCUGCUGUCACAUCCAGCAGGACCUGAGUCUCGUGCAGCCUCACCUUGAGGCCUCUGUCUUUUCCCGAAGUCCCAUAGAUUACAUCUCCUUAUCCGCUGUGAGGAUUUCUCCUUGUUCUGGUCUGGUUUCUAAAGAACAAUUCUCUGUGCUUAUGCAACUUCUGUUUCUGGGGGCAGAGCUUGCUGCAAAAGGCAAAGAACCCGGUCCAUUUACCCUGGGCCUGGACCAAGAAUUAACCUGGUGCAGUGUGCUGGUCCAUGAGCUUCCAGCUCAGCCCUCUGGAGACCUAGCUCCAGGGCUUGGCCUGUACCGCACUGCCCCCAGCAACUGAAUACGUGACUGAAUCAGUGAGCACGUGGAUACAUGACAGCCAGAUGGGGAGGACAGGACUGCCUCUCAGCCACCUGCUCUCAGGCCACUGCAAUGUGAUCCCACAGCCCAUGGUGAGUCUCAGAGCAAGCAAGGUCCUCAGAUGCACUGGACUCUAAGUCUGCUUUCCAGAAGAGGGAACACUGGUGAGUUUUAUUUUUGUUUCCUU